Molecule: long non-coding RNA, 696 nt
Organism: Mustela lutreola (European mink)
Lineage: Eukaryota; Metazoa; Chordata; Mammalia; Carnivora; Mustelidae
Exons: 5
Source: RefSeq, a predicted model, not a curated record
GACAUUUAUUUAUCAGAGACUCUGGCUGAAUAAAAUCUGUAGAAGCUUCUCCAGAUUUCAAUUUUUAAAGAACGUUUCCUGGCGGAGAUAAGAUCUUCACUAAAAAGAUAAAUCUAUGUCCUGCCAUAUGUACAAUGAGGAAAGAACAGAAGUCUUCUCCAAAGCACAAUAGAUUGAUCAGAAGAAUGGUCUCAUGAGCUAGGUUAUCUCAGUAGCUCUGAGGCCUCCUUCCCAUAACAGUGAACCUGAUUCCCAAGACAAAAUAGAGGGCUCCAACCAAGAGGGAGAGAAAACGAAAACCUGAGACUGAGGCUCUCUCUUCAAGCCGUUGAAUGGGAUAAUGCUACCAAGGCUAUGUAUGAAAGAGGGCUGGAGACGCAUGAGUGUCUGCAGAGCACUUGACCAGGGUCACACAGCCUGGAGGUCAUGGAGCAGGAGCUAGAGGACAGGACGACAGAGCCUACGCUCCCCGUCACCACUGCUCCAUACUGCCACGUGCUUUUCUGUCUUCCCACACCCGUGCUAGAACCCGGCCACUGGGUCACCAAGGAUCCUCACAGAGCACUGGCUCAUCUAAAGAGGUGUGGAAAGAACAAAACUUCAGCAUAAAAAGGCUUCACUAUCAAAGAAUUCCACUGGGAAGGUUCACUAUAAACUUCCUAAUGAAGCAAAUAAUAAAUGGCUUUUAAGAAAACA